RNAcentral lists this ribosomal RNA (573 nucleotides) under Holtermanniella takashimae. Its description in RNAcentral is "partial large subunit ribosomal RNA". It matches the Rfam family "Eukaryotic large subunit ribosomal RNA", at positions 95 to 655 of the family's 3401-position model. Lineage: Eukaryota; Fungi; Basidiomycota; Tremellomycetes; Holtermanniales. The record is from RNAcentral.
GAAGCGGGAUGAGCUCAAAUUUGUAAUCUGGUGGACUCAGUUCAUCCGAAUUGUAAUCUAUAGAAAAGUUUUCCGCGCUGGACCGUGUCUAAGUCCCUUGGAACAGGGUGUCAGAGAGGGUGAGAAUCCCGUGCUUGAUACGACCACCAGUGCUAUGUGAUACUUUUUCAACGAGUCGAGUUGUUUGGGAAUGCAGCUCAAAAUGGGUGGUAAAUUCCAUCUAAAGCUAAAUAUUGGCGAGAGACCGAUAGCGAACAAGUACCGUGAGGGAAAGAUGAAAAGCACUUUGGAAAGAGAGUUAAACAGUACGUGAAAUUGUUAAAAGGGAAACGAUUGAAGUCAGUCGUGCUCUCUAGGACUCAGCCAGUUCUUCUGGUGUAUUUCCUAGUGAGCGGGUCAACAUCAGUUUAGAUCGCUGGAUAAGGUCAUUAGGAAUGUGGCUCCCUCGGGAGUGUUAUAGCCUAGUGUCGCAUACAGUGGUUUAGACUGAGGAACGCAGCUCGCCUUUAUGGCCGGGGUUCGCCCACGUCCGAGCUUAGGAUGUUGACAUAAUGGCUUUAAACGACCCGUCUU